CAGGAACCCACCAAGCCUCAGGAAUAGCAAAGAGGAUCACCUGAGAACACAACCAGAAAAGACUAGGAUCAUUCCAGGAACUCACCAAGCCACAGGCAUUCUGGAUCCUGCUUCAUUUCCUUCCAUCAAUCCACCCCUGAGCACCAUCCCAACAUAAAUGAGGGUACAUCAUGCCCUGGCAGAGCAGUGGCCAUCCUGGCUGGAGCUCCAGCAUGCUCACCACAGCAUCUUCCAAAGACUGCCUCUUGGCCCCCAGAAGAAAUGAAAGAUCCCUGAAUAUGGCUUCACCAAAGGGAUUGUUCUAUUAGUGGCCCAUUCAAGAAAAGGAUGCGAAGAGUCUCCUCUCCACGUCAAGCUUUCUUCACAUGCUUCUUUUUCCGUUUAGUCAAGCUUUUGAUUAUUCUGGAACAUUCUGAGUCUGGGAGGAAAUAGAAAAUGGAAAUUUCAGUGGAACUCAAGGAGGUUUUUCAGCACCAUCGAUGGGGAAAUGAUCUUUACAAUAGUCCUGGGAGUGGUAAUGUGUUCACUUUGCAAAUAAGUCCUGGAGGUCAAAUCACUUGCCCCAAGUCAUUCUGCUGAUGAUGAGCAUUCCACAGCUUGUUUGUAGAAUACUGUGGUCUCUGCAUUCUCUCUCAUGCUGAAACUGGAAAAGAUAUUAUCUUGGUCCUGAGAGGGGCAGAUAGGGUUGGAGGGGGUGUACCAAAAAAAAAAAAAAAAGGUUGUGUGGGUGAUUGGUGUGCUUCAAGAUUUCCCCAGAGCAUUAAAG
This is a long non-coding RNA of Erinaceus europaeus (western European hedgehog), 766 nucleotides long. RefSeq lists it as uncharacterized. The record is from RefSeq and is a predicted model, not a curated record. The transcript is spliced from 4 exons. NCBI's taxonomy places the organism in Eukaryota, Metazoa, Chordata, Mammalia, Eulipotyphla, Erinaceidae.